Non-coding RNA from Schistosoma rodhaini, 78 nucleotides. Lineage: Eukaryota; Metazoa; Platyhelminthes; Trematoda; Strigeidida; Schistosomatidae. The record is from Rfam.
CACUUUUUGAAUCCGUGCUGAGAUUUCGUCAGACAUCAAGCUAUUAGAGCUAAUCAAACUUCGAAGAUUAGUGAAGUU